AUGAGCUGCGCUGCAGAUAACAAGAUGUGGCGAGGAGAAGCGGCUGGUCCAGGACACAGAACGGUAUCUCACACAUGGAAUUUUUCCAUUAUCUUCAAAGACAACCUUGUCUCUGGUCUUAUUACAUCUCUGGAAUUAACAAAUAAGAUGAUCACCCCAAAACCUGGAAAGACUUAAAUGAAGUGAUGCAAAGUGAAGUGAGCAGAACCAGGAGAAGGUUAUACACAGGAACAGCAAUUAUGUAUGAUCAACUGUGAAUGACUAUUAUCAACAAGGUAAGCAUCCAGGACAACUGCAAGAGACUCAUGACAAACAAAGGAGAUCCACAGCCAAAGAAAGAACAGAUGGAGUGUGAAUGCAAAUGGAAACAUUUGUUUCCUCCAUGAAUUUUUCUCGAGUGUGAACAAUAUAUCUCUUCCUUCACCACAUGACAAACAUGGAAAUGUGUAUUAUAUAAUAAUAUAUCUACAACUUAUAUCAUAUUACCUGCUUUCUUAGAAUGGGGAAAGGUUGAAAGGGAGAGAAAGAACAUGGAUCAGAAAACAAAUAUUAAGAAAUUGUAUUGACAUAAUCUAGAAAAAAUAAAAUUUAUUAAAAAUAACA
Molecule: long non-coding RNA, 603 nt
Filed under: Monodelphis domestica (gray short-tailed opossum)
Lineage: Eukaryota; Metazoa; Chordata; Mammalia; Didelphimorphia; Didelphidae
Description: lncRNA (ENSMODG00000050217.1)
Source: RNAcentral